CUACGGGACGCUCCAGUGAGGAAUAUUGCACAAUGGGGGGAACCCUGAUGCAGCAACGCCGCGUGGAGGAUGACGCAUUUCAGUGUGUAAACUCCUUUUAUAUGUCAAGAAAAUGACGGUAGCAUAUGAAUAAGCACCGGCUAACUCCAUGCCAGCAGCCGCGGUAAUACGGAGGGUGCAAGCGUUACUCGGAAUCACUGGGCGUAAAGGACGCGUAGGCGGGUUGGAAAGUCAGGUGUGAAAUCCUACAGCUUAACUGUAGAACUGCACUUGAAACUUCUAAUCUAGAGUAUGGGAGGGGGAGAUGGAAUUAGUGGUGUAGGGGUAAAAUCCGUAGAUAUCACUAGGAAUACCUAAAGCGAAGGCGAUCUCCUGGAACAUUACUGACGCUAAGGCGUGAAAGCGUGGGGAGCAAACAGGAUUAGAUACCCCUGUAGUC
RNAcentral lists this ribosomal RNA (439 nucleotides) under uncultured bacterium. RNAcentral describes it as "partial 16S ribosomal RNA". It matches the Rfam family "Bacterial small subunit ribosomal RNA", at positions 339 to 795 of the family's 1533-position model. The record is from RNAcentral.